UACGGGGGGGGCAAGCGUUGUUCGGAAUUACUGGGCGUAAAGGGCGCGUAGGCGGUCAUCUAAGUCAGACGUGAAAUCCCUCGGCUCAACCGAGGAACUGCGUCUGAUACUGGAAGGCUUGAAUCCGGGAGAGGGAUGUGGAAUUCCAGGUGCAGCGGUGAAAUGCGCAGAUAUCAGGAGGAACACCGGUGGCGAAGGCGGGUCUCUGGGCCGAUACUGACGCUGAGGAGCGAAAGCGUGGGGAGCGAACAGG
This 253-nucleotide ribosomal RNA is filed under the name uncultured bacterium. Its description in RNAcentral is "partial 16S ribosomal RNA". It matches the Rfam family "Bacterial small subunit ribosomal RNA", at positions 524 to 776 of the family's 1533-position model. The record is from RNAcentral.